RNAcentral lists this ribosomal RNA (492 nucleotides) under uncultured bacterium. RNAcentral's name for it is "partial 16S ribosomal RNA". It matches the Rfam family "Bacterial small subunit ribosomal RNA", at positions 29 to 507 of the family's 1533-position model. The record is from RNAcentral.
AGUGAACGCUGGCGGUAAGCCUAACACAUGCAAGUCGAACGGCAGCACAGUAAGAGCUUGCUCUUACGGGUGGCGAGUGGCGGACGGGUGAGGAAUACAUCGGAAUCUACUUUUUCGUGGGGGAUAACGUAGGGAAACUUACGCUAAUACCGCAUACGACCUACGGGUGAAAGCAGGGGAUCUUCGGACCUUGCGCGAUUGAAUGAGCCGAUGUCGGAUUAGCUAGUUGGCGGGGUAAAGGCCCACCAAGGCGACGAUCCGUAGCUGGUCUGAGAGGAUGAUCAGCCACACUGGAACUGAGACGCGGUCCAGACUCCUACGGGAGGCAGCAGUGGGGAAUAUUGGACAAAGGGCGCAAGCCUGAUCCAGCCAUACCGCGUGGGUGAAGAAGGCCUUCGGGUUGUAAAGCCCUUUUGUUGGGAAAGAAAAGCAGCAGGUUAAUACCCCGCUGUUCUGACGGUACCCAAAGAAUAAGCACCGGCUAACUUCGUG